AUUCACUCGGAAAUUAAAAAGACUGAAUUUCUUAGAAAAGAGAGAUUUCUAAUUUGAUAAAUUGACAAGAGAAGGUACUAAUGCGGAUGAUACUACAAUGCACACAUUGUUUUCAUUUCUGUGCCAAUUAUAUAAACAUACUGCCACUUCAGUUGCGACAAUAUCUCUUCUCUGCGUUGGAAAUUUUGUCAAACAGUAAUGCUGAAUCUAUUUUACCCACAAAUUUUAUUGUCAAUUGAUGACUUCACUACGGAUUGGUAUUCUUAACUUGCUUUUCCAAUUUAAAAUGACAAGCGAAGCAAAUGCUUCUUGUGAUAAAUGAAGACAAAACAAAGUACCAUACUUUCUGUCAACAAACAAAUCUUCUGAGCAUCUUGGAACACACGUCACUGUAGACAAUUAUAAGUUCGAACUCCAGCAAAAUUUUAGUGUCCAGCAAAAGCUAACCAAACGGAGCCAAUUAUGCUGAGAUUUGCAUUUUUAAGAUCAGAGUGGUGGUGUUUGUCGCUCCUAAGUUGAUUUCUAUAAGAGGAACCAUAAGCGCAACAUUGUUCAUCAAGUAAACAAAGAACGCUGUAUGCAGGUUGACUAUAGUGAUUAUAGCUGAUUCAGCAUAACCGUUCAGCAGCCGUUACUUUGUGUGUAGGAUAAAUUUCUAAACAAAAACUGUAAUAUUGCGCUUUGUCUUGUAUUUGGUUAAAUACAAAAUAAGACAAAACUUAAGUUGACAAAUGUGUGGAAUAAAUCCACAUAACAGAAGGAAGAAUCAUUCUUGUCAAUAGAAGUUACUUCGGGCUAAGUAGGCCAUUGGGUAUAAAUCCUUCUCUCAACAAACAAAAAUCACGCUCUACAAGUUUCUUAUCAUGCCUGUCCUGCUAUAUGGUGCAGAAGUUUGGACAAUUGCGAACAGCGAUGAGAAGGCAUUAGAAUCAUUAGAAGACACGCGUUGGCGAUGAGUACCGAAUUAGAUAGAACGAUGAGCUGUACGAGUCAUACCGCGACUUUGACAUAGUUGAGCACAUAAAAAUUCAGCAGCUUCGCUGGCUUGGUCAUGUCGUGUCAAUGGAAGAAAGUGCUCCGGUUGGAAAGGUGUUUGGUUUGGUACCCACAGGCGGAAAACGCAGUAUAGGCCGUUCGUAUCUUCGGUGGAAGAACCAGGUGAUCAACGAUUUAGUGUCGCUCUUUCUUAUUAUUGUGAAAUCAUGCAGAAAAUUUAAAUUUAA
Long non-coding RNA from Teleopsis dalmanni, 1223 nucleotides. RefSeq lists it as uncharacterized. NCBI's taxonomy places the organism in Eukaryota, Metazoa, Arthropoda, Insecta, Diptera, Diopsidae. The record is from RefSeq and is a predicted model, not a curated record. The transcript has 3 exons.